AUACGUAGGGGGCGAGCGUUGUCCGGAAUGAUUGGGCGUAAAGGGCGCGUAGGCGGCCCGGUAAGUCUGGAGUGAAAGUCCUGUUUUUAAGAUGGGAAUUGCUUUGGAUACUGUCGGGCUUGAGUGCAGGAGAGGUAAGUGGAAUUCCCAGUGUAGCGGUGAAAUGCGUAGAGAUUGGGAGGAACACCAGUGGCGAAGGCGACUUACUGGACUGUAACUGACGCUGAGGCGCGAAAGUGUGGGGAGCAAACAGGAUUAGAUACCCGAGUAGUCCACGCCGUAAACGAUGAGUACUAAGUGUCGGGUAACCGGUGCUGAAGUUAACACAUUAAGUACUCCGCCUGAGGAGUACGGUCGCAAGGCUGAAACUCAAAUGAAUUGACGGGG
This 387-nucleotide ribosomal RNA is filed under the name uncultured bacterium. RNAcentral describes it as "partial 16S ribosomal RNA". It matches the Rfam family "Bacterial small subunit ribosomal RNA", at positions 523 to 918 of the family's 1533-position model. The record is from RNAcentral.